UACGUAGGGUGCGAGCGUUGUCCGGAAUUAUUGGGCGUAAAGAGCUUGUAGGCGGUCUGUCGCGUCUGCUGUGAAAAUCCGGGGCUCAACCCCGGACUUGCAGUGGGUACGGGCAGACUAGAGUUCGGCAGGGGAGACUGGAAUUCCUGGUGUAGCGGUGAAAUGCGCAGAUAUCAGGAGGAACACCGGUGGCGAAGGCGGGUCUCUGGGCCGAUACUGACGCUGAGGAGCGAAAGCGUGGGGAGCGAACAGG
Molecule: ribosomal RNA, 253 nt
Filed under: uncultured bacterium
Lineage: Bacteria
Description: partial 16S ribosomal RNA
Rfam family: Bacterial small subunit ribosomal RNA
Source: RNAcentral